GGCAGGACCAGUGUGGCCAGCAGGGCUCCUGCUUGGUGUACCAGAAUUCGGCCAUGAGCCGCUACAUACUCAUCAUGGGGCUCCUGUACAAGGUGCUGGGCGUCCUCUUCUUUGCCAUAGCCUGCUUCUUAUACAAGCCCCUGUCGGAGUCUUCAGAUGGCCUGGAAACUUGUCUGCCCAGCCAGUCCUCAGCCCCUGACAGUGCCACAGAUAGCCAGCUCCAGAGCAGCGUCUGACCACCGCCCGCGCCCACCCGGCCACGGCGGGCACUCAGCAUUUCCUGAUGACAGAACAGUGCCGUUGGGUGAUGCAAUCACACGGGAACUUCUAUUUGACCUGCAACCUUCUACUUAACCUGUGGUUUAAAGUCGGCUGUGACCUCCUGUCCCCAGAGCUGUACGGCCCUGCAGUGGGUGGGAGGAACUUGCAUAAAUAUAUAUUUAUGGACACAC
RNAcentral lists this long non-coding RNA (452 nucleotides) under Homo sapiens (human). Its description in RNAcentral is "HSALNT0270343". Lineage: Eukaryota; Metazoa; Chordata; Mammalia; Primates; Hominidae. The record is from RNAcentral.